Long non-coding RNA from Etheostoma spectabile (orangethroat darter), 137 nucleotides. RefSeq lists it as uncharacterized. The transcript is spliced from 3 exons. The record is from RefSeq and is a predicted model, not a curated record. Lineage: Eukaryota; Metazoa; Chordata; Actinopteri; Perciformes; Percidae.
CAAAGGUCCUGAGUUUACAAUAAAGUGAGAAUAAUUAAGGAGCAGUAGAGAGGUUUUCAUAGAUAAGCAGACUCCCACACUGAUGUACAGACUUAACCUUAUAUUUAAACAUUAAUUCCAGUAAAGCCUAUUUUAAU